GCCACCAUUUCCUGUGCUCCAUGUUAGAUUUAAAAAAUGAUUUAAAAUUCGAAUCGAAGUUCAAGUAAAGUUUAUAGAGGUCACGUAGAGGAUGGUGGAUGCGACUUGUUCCUUUACGGAAAAGGAAACACCGUCUUUGACGAAUAAAAGUUUACUCGUACUCCAGAGGCCAAGCUCUCUAAUGCCAUUUCAUCGUCAAAUCCGCUUAACCCUUCGAAUACUUUGUGAUACAACUCAAAGGAAAAUUGAGGUCGUGUCUGGGUUUGAGUAGCUUACGCUUAUAGCCUGAGCAGGAAACACUACACGUAGAAGUCCUACUGUUGUUUUUUUGGCGACUCUUCUCGAAGCGAGUAACCUUGGGGGCGAACGCUGUCACGAACCCUAUUCCAAGCGUGGCUUUGUUAGAGACGCCUAUCAGUGAAUGGAAAUAUGCGCAGUUUCUCCAUUUUCAAAAGCGGAAAUUUUGGCGCUUGACCAAACCAGGAGCGAGGCAGACGCUCUAGACCAUGGAGAUGGAUAUGCGUACAGAUACGUGCUAAGGUAAUCAUGCGUCAUGUGCUCCCGAAAAAAGUUCAGAACUUGAAUGGAUCUGAUUUGGCCAAUAGAAGUUGGGGAAAAGAAC
This is a long non-coding RNA of Varroa destructor (honeybee mite), 622 nucleotides long. NCBI's taxonomy places the organism in Eukaryota, Metazoa, Arthropoda, Arachnida, Mesostigmata, Varroidae. The record is from RefSeq and is a predicted model, not a curated record.